Molecule: long non-coding RNA, 732 nt
Filed under: Marmota monax (woodchuck)
Lineage: Eukaryota; Metazoa; Chordata; Mammalia; Rodentia; Sciuridae
Source: RNAcentral
CAGCGCCCCAUGCAUGCCAGGCAAGCGCGCUACCGCUUGAGCCACAUCCCCAGCCCUCACCAUCCCUUUUUAAGGGUUUGUAGUGACAAGAUCCCACCAAGUUGAUCAGGCUGGCCUCAAACUUGAGAGUCUCCUGAUUCUGCCUCCCAAGGAGCUGGAAAUACAGACAUGAGCCACUGUGCCAGGAAAUACAGAUUCUUUUCAAUAGUUCAUUAUUCUUCUCUUUAUCUUCUCAUCAUACAGUACCUCCAUCUCUCCUGGAACAUUUAUCACAAUAUAUUAUUUGUUUAUUUGCUUGUCUUCCUCCAUUGUUUUAUAAGUGCCCUUCAGAUCAGUAAUUCUGCUGUCUUCCUCCCUUGCAUUUCCGGUGCUUCAGACAGUGUCUAGGUUGUAGAAGGUAUAGAAGAUAUCUAAUAAAUAUUGUUCCAAUUCAUUUGGAAAGCUGUCACUUCUUGUCACUAGCCACGAUUCACUAGCUUCCCAGGCAGCCUAUCCCAUGGGUGACCUGUUCUCUCUGGUAGAAAGUUCUUCCUUAUAGGGAGCCAAGCCAUGACUUCAUGAUUUUUACUCAGUGUUCUUUUCUUUAGUCCGAAAGACCCUCACACAACUGCUCAGGGGCCCGCAUUUGUAUUCAGCCUCCCAGGCAUUUGAGAUUACAAUCAUGACAUACUUGAGUCUUCUCAUGUCCAUGCUAAAUUCUGUCUGUUCCUUUACUUUGUAUGAAUUAAGAUU